UGGGGAAUAUUGCACAAUGGGGGAAACCCUGAUGCAGCGACGCCGCGUGAACGAAGAAGGUAUUCGUAUCGUAAAGUUCUGUCCUAUGGGAAGAUAAUGACAGUACCAUAGAAGAAAGCUCCGGCUAAAUACGUGCCAGCAGCCGCAGUAAUACGUAUGGAGCGAGCGUUGUCCAGAAUUAUUGGGCGUAAAGGGUACGCAGGCGGUUUAAUAAGUCGAAUGUUAAAGAUCGGGGCUCAACCCCGCAAAGCUUUGGAAACUGAUAAACUUGAGUAGUGGAGAGGAAAGUGGAAUUCCUAGUGUAGUGGUGAAAUACGUAGAUAUUAGGAGGAAUACCAGUAGCGAAGGCGACUUUCUGGACACAAACUGACGCUGAGGUACGAAAGCGUGGGGAGCAAACAGG
Molecule: ribosomal RNA, 403 nt
Filed under: bacterium
Lineage: Bacteria
Description: partial 16S ribosomal RNA
Rfam family: Bacterial small subunit ribosomal RNA
Source: RNAcentral